Molecule: ribosomal RNA, 496 nt
Filed under: uncultured bacterium
Lineage: Bacteria
Description: partial 16S ribosomal RNA
Rfam family: Bacterial small subunit ribosomal RNA
Source: RNAcentral
GAUGAACGCUGGCGGCGUGCCUAAUACAUGCAAGUCGAGCGAACAGACGAGGAGCUUGCUCCUCUGACGUUAGCGGCGGACGGGUGAGUAACACGUGGAUAACCUACCUAUAAGACUGGGAUAACUUCGGGAAACCGGAGCUAAUACCGGAUAAUAUAUUGAACCGCAUGGUUCAAUAGUGAAAGACGGUUUUGCUGUCACUUAUAGAUGGAUCCGCGCCGCAUUAGCUAGUUGGUAAGGUAACGGCUUACCAAGGCAACGAUGCGUAGCCGACCUGAGAGGGUGAUCGGCCACACUGGAACUGAGACACGGUCCAGACUCCUACGGGAGGCAGCAGUAGGGAAUCUUCCGCAAUGGGCGAAAGCCUGACGGAGCAACGCCGCGUGAGUGAGGAAGGUCUUCGGAUCGUAAAACUCUGUUAUUAGGGAAGAACAAAUGUGUAAGUAACUAUGCACGUCUUGACGGUACCUAAUCAGAAAGCCACGGCGAACUACGU